Molecule: small nuclear RNA, 186 nt
Filed under: Castor canadensis (American beaver)
Lineage: Eukaryota; Metazoa; Chordata; Mammalia; Rodentia; Castoridae
Description: U2 spliceosomal RNA (ENSCCNG00000016892.1)
Rfam family: U2 spliceosomal RNA
About the family: U2 is a small nuclear RNA (snRNA) component of the spliceosome (involved in pre-mRNA splicing). Complementary binding between U2 snRNA (in an area lying towards the 5' end but 3' to hairpin I) and the branchpoint sequence (BPS) of the intron results the bulging out of an unpaired adenosine, on the BPS, which initiates a nucleophilic attack at the intronic 5' splice site, thus starting the first of two transesterification reactions that mediate splicing.
Source: Rfam by way of RNAcentral
AUCGCUUCUCAGCCUUUUGACUAAGAUCACGUAGUGUCUGUUCUUACCAGUUUCACAUCUGAAACCUCGUCCUGUAUCCGGGGUCAAUAUAUUAUAUGGAUUUUUGGAGCAGGGAGAUGGAAGAGGAUCUCGCUCCAUCCACGCAUCCACUGGUAUUGGGGUACCUCCAGGAAUGGUGCACCCCUC